This 1195-nucleotide ribosomal RNA is filed under the name Triticum aestivum (bread wheat). RNAcentral describes it as "partial small subunit ribosomal RNA". Lineage: Eukaryota; Viridiplantae; Streptophyta; Magnoliopsida; Poales; Poaceae. The record is from RNAcentral.
CCCACCCCCGCCCCCAUCCCCCCACACGGCGUUGACCUCAUCGCUACCGCUCCCGACGGCGACCCUUCCCACCUAUCUCCGAUGACGGGUGAAGGCCGCGCAUCACCAAACAGCGAGCCCUACCCACAUACGGGAGCGGGGCUUGGUUUGGUGAUUUGAGCGGUCCCCGCCAGAUCUGGUGGGGCAGCGCUGUCGCUACGUCGAUCCUGAGAUCCACUGAUGGAUUCGGGAGGCGGAGGAGCGUCAGACCAGGAGAUUCAGGAGCUGAUGGCGGAGCUCUCGCACCGGGAAAGGACGACGGCGCGUGCGGCGAGGAGGGUGGAGACUCCGAAUCGCAAAGUGGCAACAUUGAGGAUGAAUUUGGCAUUGCACGCAAUGUCUAGAACCACGGAGUUUGGAGCGAGAGAGCAUAUUUGCGAUGGGGCGGCCUAUCACCCCCGACCUGAUCCUAUCCUGGGCCGCGGAAGAGGAAGUGUCCUACUCAAGGAUACAUAGAAGGAGAUGGAGACUGUUCCGGGUCGAGGUGAUCUGGAUGACAUAUAGAAGGAGGAAAUUAAGGUCAGACAGAGAUCCAGGGAGAAGGAGAUCUUGGAAGGUGAACUGAACACUAGGUACUUCAAGGUUGUGGCUAACCAAAAGAGGAGGAAGAAGCAGAUAAAUGUACUGGAAGGCAGCUUAGGACCUGUAGAAGACACCAAAGGAUGCAGGCUAUUUGGCGAAAAACUGCGUCGAACCUUUCUUCGUGGGAAUUCCUAUCCUCAGGUCGUGCCAGAACCGAGCUGGAAGAAUGGUCAAGGGAGUUGGAGCAACUGGCGAGGAGCCCCCCUCUCUUGAUGUGGUCAAAUCCUAGCUGAAGUGAAACAGUGCUCACUAAAGAUAUCCUGGUAGGUGGGGGAAUUUUGAUAUAUUAGGCUCCCCUGUACCUAGGCAGAUGUGGUGUAAAAAAAGACUUGGUGAACUUGCGUUAUUUGUAAUAGGCUAGGCUAGCUAGCUCUGGUUUCUGUACUUCUUUUGUUUGGCGUGUAUGUUUGCGCUGAGGCUGAGGCAGUGUGUCUACCGUUCCUCCGCGUGCUACUUAUGUAAGGAUCGGAACUCUGUGUUUCAUUUCUAAAAUGGAAUGGAGUUGGGGCAUGCUGCCCUUUUCUUCUUCUUUUUUUCGGUGUAAGAUAGAAUAAGGCACUAUAUAUAGUUUUCG